Molecule: transfer RNA, 75 nt
Filed under: Acidobacteriota bacterium
Lineage: Bacteria; Pseudomonadati; Acidobacteriota
Description: Acidobacteria bacterium tRNA-Val
Rfam family: tRNA
About the family: Transfer RNA (tRNA) molecules are approximately 80 nucleotides in length. Their secondary structure includes four short double-helical elements and three loops (D, anti-codon, and T loops).
Source: RNAcentral
GGGCCGUUAACUCAGCGGGAGAGUGCCAUCCUCACACGGUGGAAGUCGUUGGUUCAAAUCCAACACGGCCCACCA